AGUGAAAGAGAUCUUUGGUUUUGCCUUUGCUGACUGCUGAUCUGAUCAUCUCAAGUCUGGUGACCUGCUGCAGAAAACCCUCUCCCUCUAUCAUUAACAAGCAAUUCAGUCUGUCCUAUCACUCUCCCUCUCCCUGCUCCAUCUUUUUUGACAAGCCAUU
This is a long non-coding RNA of Pelmatolapia mariae (spotted tilapia), 160 nucleotides long. RefSeq lists it as uncharacterized. NCBI's taxonomy places the organism in Eukaryota, Metazoa, Chordata, Actinopteri, Cichliformes, Cichlidae. The transcript has 3 exons. The record is from RefSeq and is a predicted model, not a curated record.